Long non-coding RNA from Chinchilla lanigera (long-tailed chinchilla), 2684 nucleotides. RefSeq lists it as uncharacterized. The record is from RefSeq and is a predicted model, not a curated record. Lineage: Eukaryota; Metazoa; Chordata; Mammalia; Rodentia; Chinchillidae. The transcript is spliced from 2 exons.
GCUAAGUACCAAGCCGCUAGAACAGUUUAAUCGCUGGCUUUGUAACCAUUAGCAGUUACGUCUAAAUCUCGAGCAGGCUUUCCUCUAAAGGAAUCCUUACGGGACAGUGACUGAAGAAUUAAAAAAUAGAAGGUAUACUGUGUUAAGUUUAGAAUAAUGAAGACAUGAAAGAAUGACCUCACUCAAAUUUUAUCUGGUAUGCGCAUAGAUCGUGAGACAAAACUUUUGAAGAACUGUGUGACCAAAUUACUUCCCUUUUUAGUCUCCAUGUUUUGUAAGAAUACACAGUACAGAUUCAGAAUCCAUGGGCUGUCAUUUGUACACUGACGGUUAAAGAUUAAAAGUGCUUAAUACUGUUGGUAGUGAAAAGACCAUCUGAGAUAACUAUCUGAAUGUUUAGUAAAAAUUUAACAGAAAAGUACUAUAACCACCUGGGGGUGUAACAAAUGCAUGUUUUAUUUAUAUUUGUCAGUAACAGGCAAAGUCAGACACAAGAAGAUAUGUCAUUUCUAACAUUUCUUAAAAAUAUGCUCAAAAUUUGGAAAGUAUCUAUGUUUCUAGUAACUGCUCUAGUUCAUUUUUUUUUUUUUUUAAUGUAUAAGACACCGGUACCUACCAUUUUUGCUUCUUACAAGGCUUUUUGUUUGUUUUGCUAAUUUUGUUUAGACCAAUGGAAGACGUGGUUUUGUAUUCUAAAUGAAAAAUUACGUUGUUUUCACUGAAGAUAGGCUAUGUAAACUGCAGAAAUGACAGGAACAAGAGGAACAAAACCCUCUACCCUAAGAACAGCAGAAAAUUCUGACAACCGCAGGCACCAUUCAGCCUGAGAGGAGGUCACAGUCCCCAAGAAAAUGCUUCGCACCUCUCCAUCAUCUGGUCAGCAAGUGUGCACAGAGCUGAGACCCAUGUAGGGGACACAGAAAUAGCAAUGUUUUGUGUCGUAAAACUGUAAGGACUGCGAGACUUGAGAAGGGGGACUCACGGGAAAAGGGGAAUCAGGCAGGAUGAAACACUCACAGAAAGACGGGAACUGAAACGCAGAGCUACUGAAUGCGGUAUUCCGAGAAGGAUGGUAGAUUUAUUCCUUGGACGUUUGCUAUGAAAAGAGAACCUGAGGUAAAAUGAGAAAAGAGGCUAGGAACUAAACUCUCAUUAUUAAAUCCAUUAUCUGGCCAUCAGAGUAACACUCCUUUGUUUUUAAAGACAACAACACACACUUUCAUAAAUGAAUCUGAACCUCACGAAAUUUCAGUGGUUUUCAGUCUAGUGAUGAGCCACUGCGACCUGAGGAGCCUUAAUCUCUCCUGACAGGUGAACCUGUGCACAGCCCCACACAGGGAGGAGGAAAGAAGGAAUUUAAACAUCGCUGGAGGUUUUUAUUUUGUGGAACUGAGAUCUGAGGAUCCUCAGAAGCUUUCUGAAUGAAAAGGGAAGCAAUGGUAUGCUCUCCUCAGGUUACAGCUGGGGUAACUGGCAGGUGAGGCAAGGCCUGACUAACUUGGUAGUAGAUGCUGGCCCAGUAUUUCCUGCCUGUUAGGUAGGACACACCGCUUCUGUGACAGUGAAGUGCAUUUUAAAUUAGCAAUUGGGUUUGGCUUUUUCCCUUGUUUUUGGUUAGAAUGGUACUCUAAAAGUGAAGGAUGGUAAAGUCAGUGCUUUUUUCAAAAACUUUUUACAACUACGGAGCACAUGAAAUCAUUUGCGCUGUCUUAAAAUUAAAAUCACAAAGAAAUGGUUAAAGCAAAACUGGAUAGGUAUUCAAACAGUGUAUACAUGAAGUACACUACUGCCUUUUCUUUAACUUUGUAAUAAACUUUUCUUCAGUAGAUAAUCGUAACAAAAUAGGAGACACUCAUGCUAAGGGACAAAAUCAGUAGCAGACCCAGGGCCAAAAGCAGUGGAAUAGAAGUCAUUAUUCGCAUCUCUGGCAGACGUCUUGCUGAGCACUGGAAUAUAUAUAGUAGGUAUUCAAAUAUAUACAUCUCCAGUCCUUUUUAAAAUUUUCAUUUUGAGGAAAGGUCUCACUAGGGUAGCCUUGAUCUUGCAAUCCUGCUUUAGCCUCCCAAGUAGCUGGGGUGUUAGGUAUGUAUGUCCCCACUGUAUUAUCUUGAUGGAACUGUCCUCCUCACGCAAGCUGAAUAUAUUCUGUAGAACACAUUCAUUUUAGGAGAACUUGACUUAGAGAAGAGGAAGUAGGAUCAAACUCUGUGCUCAUGAGUUCAGUUCUGUCUUCUGAUCUCAGAAGUAGCAGAAAAGGGAAACACAACCCAAACACUUGGGACUGUUGGUCAAGGGGAAAUUAAGACUCAGAUGACCAAAAUAAUUUUAAUUUUUUACAAUGGAUAUAAAAGGACAUACAAAAUAUAAGAAAAAUCAUCAUUUAUGUUUCAGUAGAUUCUAGAAUAAAACAUUUCCUCCUGUCUAUAAUUAGACUUUACAUAUGGCCCAAACUCCAGCUCUCCAAAAUCACAGAAGAGACAUAAACCAGUCAACUUUAAGAACUAAGAAAAGCAGGUAAGGAUAGAGGGAGGAUAUUCACUGAGAUUCAUGGUCUGUUUGCAUAGCAGGAAGUCACACCACUCCCUGCCGUAACUUCUAAAUGCUAUUCGAUGUAUUAAAAUUUCCUGUUCCUUUGUAUCUUAUAUACUUAUUACAGCUAAAAUAAAAAAUGUAAAAAAAAAAAA